GGAUAUAGCUCAGUUGGUAGAGUCCCGGAUUGUGAUUCCGGUUGUCGUGGGUUCGAGCCCCAUUAUC
RNAcentral lists this transfer RNA (67 nucleotides) under fish gut metagenome. It matches the Rfam family "tRNA". From Rfam's summary of the family: Transfer RNA (tRNA) molecules are approximately 80 nucleotides in length. Their secondary structure includes four short double-helical elements and three loops (D, anti-codon, and T loops). The record is from RNAcentral.